UACGUAGACCUCAAGCGUUAUCCGGAUUUAUUGGGCGUAAAGAGCAUGUAGGAGGCUUCGCGCGUUUUUGGUUAAAGCCCACCGCCUAACGGUGGAUCUGCCAAGAAUACGGCGAGACUAGAGGAAAUUAGAGGUGCAUGGAACGCACGGUGUAGGGGUGAAAUCCGUUGAUAUCGUGCGGAACACCAAAGGCGAAGGCAGUGCACUGGGAUUUUCCUGACUCUGAGAUGCGAAAGCGUGGGGAG
RNAcentral lists this ribosomal RNA (245 nucleotides) under uncultured bacterium. Its description in RNAcentral is "partial 16S ribosomal RNA". It matches the Rfam family "Bacterial small subunit ribosomal RNA", at positions 524 to 768 of the family's 1533-position model. The record is from RNAcentral.